Molecule: ribosomal RNA, 277 nt
Filed under: uncultured bacterium
Lineage: Bacteria
Description: partial 16S ribosomal RNA
Rfam family: Bacterial small subunit ribosomal RNA
Source: RNAcentral
AAACUCAAAGGAAUUGACGGGGCCCCGCACAAGCGGCGGAGCAUGCGGAUUAAUUCGAUGCAACGCGUAGAACCUUACCUGGGUUUGACAUGGAUCGGGAGUGCUCAGAGAUGGGUGUGCCUCUUUUGGGGUCGGUUCACAGGUUGUGCAUGGCUGUCGUCAGCUCGUGUCGUGAGAUGUUGGGUUAAGUCCCGCAACGAGCGCAACCCUUGUUCACUGUUGCCAGCACGUUAUGGUGGGGACUCAGUGGAGACCGCCGGGGUCAACUCGGAGGAAG